This 508-nucleotide unclassified non-coding RNA is filed under the name Bombus terrestris (buff-tailed bumblebee). RNAcentral describes it as "misc RNA ENSBTSG00005037803.1". The record is from RNAcentral. Lineage: Eukaryota; Metazoa; Arthropoda; Insecta; Hymenoptera; Apidae.
UCUACAGCUCUUUACCUGGAAUUAUCCGUCCGAAUGGAUUAAUAACCCAUUCAAAGCUAAUGAGUAUGCCAUGAAAAAAAAAUUGUAAUUGUAUUCGAAAAGAUGAAAAAAUUAUUCUGAAGAAGCUGAAGAAUUAAAAUAUUACAAUCCUGAAAAAUUAUAUAAUAAAAAGAUAAUAGGACUUUCGGUUUGGUUCGGAGCGAGGGUAACACGCGAACGGAGAGCUCUGUGGAAAAAGUGAAGUGUGAAGGGAAAAAGGAGAAGGAAGCACAAAGUGACACGAAGAAGGGAAAAUAAAGGAGAGCCAGAGAGAAAGAUGAGUGGGAAAGGGAAAAGAAAGAACAAUUGGGCAGAAUCAGAAGAAUCGAGGAGGAGAAGGACAGGGCAGAGAGAGAGAAAAGAAGAAGGAACAUAGUAAUCAAAGGAGUAGACUGGAACGAAAGAAGCAAUGAAGAGACAGUAAAGGAGUUCAUAAGAGAAAAAAUGAAAAUAGGGACAGAAGCAGAAA